CAGUUAGAUUAGACCCCCUAGAAAUCCAUAAAAACGAAUGUUAGGCCGAGAACGACUGUGGGGCGUAGGGUUUUGUUGGUGGUCGUCUCGAUAAAUCUGGCCUCGGCAUUGCUGCUGGUUUGGUCAGGAGAGUCAGAAUCAUGAAAAAAAAUACUUGCACAUGAUUUUGAACGUUAUAGUAGAAAAAUAAAGAGGAAAGAGAAGAGAUACAGUGGUAUCAUUUUUAUGUUUAUGUGGAUCCCAAACAUGGGGGAAAAGAAAAGGGGUAGUGAAGGGAUUCUGGGAAAUGCUGAAGGGUAGGCAAGGAAACAAGAAGAGGACACCGGUUGCUUGCGCAAAUCUAGCUAAUCUGGGGCUUCCGGGCCAACUAAAGUGAAAGUUGGGGUUGAUGCUGUGGUUCAGGCAAAACCCCAAACCCAAAGCCAUCCCCACCCAACCCCCCCUAAGCGAACCAACAUCGCCAUUCCCACAUUUGCUUCUUGGCCUCAUUAUGUUUAGGCAGACACGGUUCUCAAUAUAGCCAGUAGAUACAUGUUGCAAGCCAAACACCUUAUGUCUUCUGCUGCUACUUACUCUUCUUCCUCACUCAAACGCUGUCUUUCUUUUUCUUCACUCUUUGAAUAUUUGAAUCUUUUCUUUCUAGCAAAGGACAAGAAAACCCCAUCAUCAAAGGAAAAAAAACGAAGAAAGUAGAAGAGAAAUAAAUAAAAACGUACAGGCACCAAACCCUUGGUUCUGAUUUUAUGUUUCUCUCUUUGCUUUCAUUCAUGUUCCUUUUGAUUUUUUUUUGACCAUUUUUGCACUCUCCAACAAGGGUUGUGGUGGGGGCAAAAGCGGAAGCAAAGGGAGGACUUUGCUUCAAGAAUGGUGACUGUUGUGAAUCCGUCUACAAAGAGAAUUGGAGGAAGAUUGGGCUCUUCCAUGAGAAUUUAUGUGAAGCGAAUGGGUUUUGGAGGCUCAUAUAAAGCAUGGGGUAAUUAUAGAAGAAACUUCAUUUUCUUCAAACUCCAAUCUUUGCAACAGGCUCUCUUCUUAAUCUUCUUCUUCAGCUUCUGGUGAUGAGAGGGGAAGGUGGUGGCGGUGACGGUGGCGGUGGUGAUAUUGGCUGGACGGCUCAAUCUCUUUAUUGUUCAUUUAUGAUAUACUAAAAUUUGUUCUUCUCUUUUUUGCUGCUUAUUUGUUGGUCCAUAAUGUUGGUAAAUGCAACGGGUAUGUUGGUCUCUUUGCUGAUUUUUUCCUCUUUUAUUUUAUUUUAUUUUAGUUAUACUAACUUCCUCUUUUGGCUUUUAGGUUUAUGCCUUUUGCUUGCUUCAUGAAAAAAAAAACCAUUUUCAUACAAAGCAAAAAAAAAAGAAACUUCAAAACAAGAAACUAGCAGUAAUCAGGAGGUUAGAAAAUAGUGCAGUAAAUAGGCAGGAGCUAAUUCUGUGCAGGGUUGGUGAGUAAAGUUAAUAUUUGAGGUCUCUACACUGUUUUAUUGUACUCAGCCUCUGUCCCUGUAAUUUAUUGUACAUCUUCUGGGGAAAUGUGUGAGCUUUAUUAAUAGUAAUGAUAUUUGUUAAUUAUAAUA
This is a non-coding RNA of Theobroma umbraticum, 1570 nucleotides long. The record is from RefSeq and is a predicted model, not a curated record. NCBI's taxonomy places the organism in Eukaryota, Viridiplantae, Streptophyta, Magnoliopsida, Malvales, Malvaceae.